UUUUUUUUUUAGCACAGAGAAAAUUACUACUAUUUCGGUUAUCAAACAAGAUUGUUUGUCUUUCACUAAACUACAUGACAAUUUUUGGGUCCGGUUAUGGUGCAUAAGGUCAAGCUUAUGCACCGUGCAUAAGCCCAAGAUCAUUGCUUAGCACACCUCUGUCCAUUACUUCGUACACCCCAACAGAUCCCCACCCACGUGAACAACACAUUUCAGAAAAUAAAUCACUCGUUCAUCAUCAAACAAAACUCGCUCCCUCUUCGCCAUCGUCGUCGCCAUUAACGCCUUCCAUCUGCAACAACACGGUUUCGCAAAAGCUCGCUCGCUCUUUCAGACACGGUCACCGUCGCCGAGAAAUAUCUUCAAUGUCGCCGUCAUUCAAAACCAUUCAUCAUUCAUCACCAUAUACAUAAUUUGAAUGAACCAACCACAAAAUGGUGAAAAGAAAACAGGUUUGACAAUUUUUGAAUUGAGGAUUACGUUCAUCAUUCAUCACCAUUCCCUAAUUGAAGAACACUGAACGAACCAAAUGGUGAAAAGAAAACAGAUCCUGAGGCUUCUCAAAUUUUCCUUCAUGGUGUUCUUGAAGCUUGGAAAAAAGCAGAGGAGUUGCUUCUUUCUAAAGGUAUUAGUACAGACCCAUCUUCCGUGACACCAUCUAAGUCUUCAAAAGCAGCUGCUGUCGGUGAACCAUCUGAUGGGGUGAAGUCCACUGCACCAAAGUUCAAAGAAAGACCAAAUCCAAUUAAGUCAAAGAAGCGACUUAAAAAUGAUUAUGAAAAAGCUAGACAAAGGCAGAAAUUCCUUAUAGAACGGAAGAAACAAAAGAGAGAUGACGAGGCUUUAAAAAGAAAAAUUGUCACUGAUUGACUAUUUUUAUUUUAUAAGUUUGUACUAGAGUUUGUUACAAAAUUAUUAGACAUGGUGAACAGCCAAUUUAUUGGGAAUUAUUCAUUUCAUGUUAUUUUGUUGGUACGUAUUGAUGAUUAUAUCAUACCAAAAUAUCAAAAUAUAUCAUAUAAAAAUAUUGCA
This is an RNA transcript of Trifolium pratense (red clover), 1032 nucleotides long. RefSeq lists it as uncharacterized. Lineage: Eukaryota; Viridiplantae; Streptophyta; Magnoliopsida; Fabales; Fabaceae. The record is from RefSeq and is a predicted model, not a curated record. The transcript has 3 exons.